UCCCUAUCCGGCGCGGGCGUAGGAUAUCUGAGAGGAGCUGUCCUUAGUACGAGAGGACCGGGAUGGACGGACCGCUGGUGUAUCAGCUGCAUCGCCAGAUGCAUAAGGCUGGGUAGCCACGUCCGGAAGGGAUAAACGCUGAAGGCAUCUAAGCGUGAAGCCCCCCUCAAGAUGAGAUAUCCCUGGUUUUUGCAGUAAGACCCCUUGUAGAGUACGAGGUUAGAUAGGCACAAGGUGUAAGCAUGGUAACGUGUUCAGCUGAUGUGUACUAAUAGGUCGAGGGCUUAUCCA
This 291-nucleotide ribosomal RNA is filed under the name Butyrivibrio sp. Su6. RNAcentral describes it as "23S rRNA. Bacterial LSU". It matches the Rfam family "Bacterial large subunit ribosomal RNA", at positions 2635 to 2925 of the family's 2925-position model. The record is from RNAcentral. Lineage: Bacteria; Bacillati; Bacillota; Clostridia; Lachnospirales; Lachnospiraceae.